RNAcentral lists this ribosomal RNA (607 nucleotides) under uncultured bacterium. Its description in RNAcentral is "bacterial SSU rRNA". It matches the Rfam family "Bacterial small subunit ribosomal RNA", at positions 331 to 929 of the family's 1533-position model. The record is from RNAcentral.
CCAGACUCCUACGGGAGGCAGCAGUGGGGAAUCUUCCGCAAUGGACGAAAGUCUGACGGAGCAACGCCGCGUGAGUGAUGACGGCCUUCGGGUUGUAAAGCUCUGUUAAUCGGGACGAAAGGCCUUCUUGCGAAUAGUGAGAAGGAUUGACGGUACCGGAAUAGAAAGCCACGGCUAACUACGUGCCAGCAGCCGCGGUAAUACGUAGGUGGCAAGCGUUGUCCGGAAUUAUUGGGCGUAAAGCGCGCGCAGGCGGAUAGGUCAGUCUGUCUUAAAAGUUCGGGGCUUAACCCCGUGAUGGGAUGGAAACUGCCAAUCUAGAGUAUCGGAGAGGAAAGUGGAAUUCCUAGUGUAGCGGUGAAAUGCGUAGAUAUUAGGAAGAACACCAGUGGCGAAGGCGACUUUCUGGACGAAAACUAACGCUGAGGCGCGAAAGCCAGGGGAGCGAACGGGAUUAGAUACCCCGGUAGUCCUGGCCGUAAACGAUGGGUACUAGGUGUAGGAGGUAUCGACCCCUUCUGUGCCGGAGUUAACGCAAUAAGUACCCCGCCUGGGGAGUACGACCGCAAGGUUGAAACUCAAAGGAAUUGACGGGGGCCCGCACAAG